This 249-nucleotide long non-coding RNA is filed under the name Nicotiana benthamiana. Its description in RNAcentral is "long non-coding RNA (NBEN_LNC038179)". Lineage: Eukaryota; Viridiplantae; Streptophyta; Magnoliopsida; Solanales; Solanaceae. The record is from RNAcentral.
AUCCCCAAAUUCCAAAGUACGAAUACAUAUUACACCUCGAGUACCCAAAUCCUUCCACGAGGGAUAUUCUAAAAUUCCGUUGUGCAAUCAAACACACUUAGAUAUCCGUAGUCGAUCUAGCAAGAAAGCACUGAAACACACGUAGUACCAUCAGUCUAAUCACAUUUCCUUUUUUCCAAGACAUUUACUCUCAUCAAAUCACUUCUGUUUAGGAGUACCAUUACCUUGGUCAUCUGAGGCUACCCGUUG